RNAcentral lists this ribosomal RNA (791 nucleotides) under uncultured bacterium. RNAcentral describes it as "bacterial SSU rRNA". It matches the Rfam family "Bacterial small subunit ribosomal RNA", at positions 10 to 796 of the family's 1533-position model. The record is from RNAcentral.
AGUUUGAUCAUGGCUCAGAUUGAACGCUGGCGGCAGGCCUAACACAUGCAAGUCGAGCGGUAGAGAGAAGCUUGCUUCUCUUGAGAGCGGCGGACGGGUGAGUAAUGCCUAGGAAUCUGCCUGGUAGUGGGGGAUAACGUCCGGAAACGGACGCUAAUACCGCAUACGUCCUACGGGAGAAAGCAGGGGACCUUCGGGCCUUGCGCUAUCAGAUGAGCCUAGGUCGGAUUAGCUAGUUGGUGGGGUAAUGGCUCACCAAGGCGACGAUCCGUAACUGGUCUGAGAGGAUGGUCAGUCACACUGGAACUGAGACACGGUCCAGACUCCUACGGGAGGCAGCAGUGGGGAAUAUUGGACAAUGGGCGAAAGCCUGAUCCAGCCAUGCCGCGUGUGUGAAGAAGGUCUUCGGAUUGUAAAGCACUUUAAGUUGGGAGGAAGGGCAGUAAAUUAAUACUUUGCUGUUUUGACGUUACCGACAGAAUAAGCACCGGCUAACUCUGUGCCAGCAGCCGCGGUAAUACAGAGGGUGCAAGCGUUAAUCGGAAUUACUGGGCGUAAAGCGCGCGUAGGUGGUUCGUUAAGUUGGAUGUGGAAUCCCCGGGCUCAACCUGGGAACUGCAUUCAAAACUGACGAGCUAGAGUAUGGUAGAGGGUGGUGGAAUUUCCUGUGUAGCGGUGAAAUGCGUAGAUAUAGGAAGGAACACCAGUGGCGAAGGCGACCACCUGGACUGAUACUGACACUGAGGUGCGAAAGCGUGGGGAGCAAACAGGAUUAGAUACCCUGGUAGUCC